GACGAACGCUGGCGGCGUGCCUAAUACAUGCAAGUAGAACGCUGAAGAGAGGAGCUUGCUCUUCUUGGAUGAGUUGCGAACGGGUGAGUAACGCGUAGGUAACCUGCCUGGUAGCGGGGGAUAACUAUUGGAAACGAUAGCUAAUACCGCAUAAAAUUGAUUAUUGCAUGAUAAUUAAUUGAAAGAUGCAACUGCAUCACUACCAGAUGGACCUGCGUUGUAUUAGCUAGUUGGUGAGGUAACGGCUCACCAAGGCGACGAUACAUAGCCGACCUGAGAGGGUGAUCGGCCACACUGGGACUGAGACACGGCCCAGACUCCUACGGGAGGCAGCAGUAGGGAAUCUUCGGCAAUGGGGGGAACCCUGACCGAGCAACGCCGCGGGAGUGAAGAAGGUUUUCGGAUCGUAAAGCUCUGUUGUAAGAGAAGAACGGGUGUGAGAGUGGAAAGUUCACACUGUGACGGUAUCUUACCAGAAAGGGACGGCUAACUACGUG
Molecule: ribosomal RNA, 497 nt
Filed under: uncultured bacterium
Lineage: Bacteria
Description: partial 16S ribosomal RNA
Rfam family: Bacterial small subunit ribosomal RNA
Source: RNAcentral